UACAACUACUGUGAGUGUCAACCAAACAAAAGAUUGCUGCUGUUUUAUUUUUCAUUAAACUCCACGAGGCUGCUUCUCUACAAUAUUCCAGUCCCUAAUGGAUAAUUAAAUAUGAGUCUUGGCAUUAUGAGAAAUCACUGUAAUCAAAUCAGUUCCCACAUAAGAGCAUUUUCACCUAAGACAACUCGGCUUUCUUGCCAUUUUUAAGUAUAUUGCCAUUUCAGAGCUCUCUAGAGUAGAAACUUAUAUUAACUCAAUGAUGAAAAGAGGUAAGCUGAUAUUUCGAGUGUCAACCAUUUCCUUGUUUAGUGGUAGUCAGUAAAAAUAGAUAUGUGCUGAAAAUAUUUAUAUUGACAAAAUGCUGGAAAAACGAGCAGGUACGGGGUAACGUUCACGAAAUGAAAGAAGCAAGUGUGUUAGAAUAUGUGUGCUGAGUGAAAAAACCCCAAAACAUAACGUGAUCGAAGAGUUUCACAUGCACCAUACUGAGGUUUAUUCAUAAGCCAAGCUGUUGCUUGUCAUUUGGCCAGGGCCACUUAGAGCUGCUGGGAAAGAAAUGAUCCAUGUCUCCAUCUGAAUAGAGGACCACAUGUUGUCAACUCAAUACUUUGCUACUGAAAUCGCAGACAAAGACUUCCCUGUAAGGCAAGAAAGCUUGACCUUCAACAAAUCACAACUCUUUCACCGCACUGUAAACAGCUCCGUCUGUCUGCCCUCGUGGCUGUCUGCUCUCACGUCUGUCUACAAGAAGCUAUUCUCAGCCAGUCCCCAUCCCAGUUAUCACAGGGUGAGACGCCAUGGACAUCUGACCGGUGUGUUGCAAUUUAGGAUCACCACUUACUCUGACAUGUGUGUAUUAUGACUGAUGGAAGAAGUUGGAGCACCUGGAGAAACUCUUUUCUUUUACCAAACCUUACCAAAGUGUUCUGUUACAGAGCCAUGUUGUGGUAAUGUAUGCAGAGUCUAGCUUGGUAUAGUGAUUAUUACCUGGGGACCUGUAGUAAAUUUUAAUAGUUGUGUAAGCUCUCGGGAUCUAAUCACAUCUUAGUCUUUCCAGUUUGUAAACUGAAAAUUAAUUUUAUUUAUUUGGCAGUAAUAUAGAUGACUAAUAUAGGUGAGCACUUACUCUAGGCAACAAAGUAGAGGGGAAUACUUUGGAAGUGUAAAGU
RNAcentral lists this long non-coding RNA (1169 nucleotides) under Oreochromis niloticus (Nile tilapia). RNAcentral's name for it is "lncRNA (ENSONIG00000036465.1)". The record is from RNAcentral. Lineage: Eukaryota; Metazoa; Chordata; Actinopteri; Cichliformes; Cichlidae.